This 587-nucleotide ribosomal RNA is filed under the name uncultured Caulobacterales bacterium. Its description in RNAcentral is "bacterial SSU rRNA". It matches the Rfam family "Bacterial small subunit ribosomal RNA", at positions 12 to 645 of the family's 1533-position model. The record is from RNAcentral. Lineage: Bacteria; Pseudomonadati; Pseudomonadota; Alphaproteobacteria; Caulobacterales.
UUUGAUCCUGGCUCAGAGCGAACGCUGGCGGCAGGCCUAAUACAUGCAAGUCGAACGGAUCCUUCGGGAUUAGUGGCGGACGGGUGAGUAACACGUGGGAACGUGCCCUUUGGUUCGGAACAACUCAGGGAAACUUGAGCUAAUACCGAAUGUGCCCUUCGGGGGAAAGAUUUAUCGCCAUUGGAGCGGCCCGCGUCUGAUUAGCUAGUUGGUGAGGUAAAGGCUCACCAAGGCGACGAUCAGUAGCUGGUCUGAGAGGAUGAUCAGCCACACUGGGACUGAGACACGGCCCAGACUCCUACGGGAGGCAACAGUAGGGAAUCUUGCGCAAUGGGCGAAAGCCUGACGCAGCCAUGCCGCGUGAAUGAUGAAGGUCUUAGGAUUGUAAAAUUCUUUCAGCGGGGACGAUAAUGACGGUACCCGCAGAAGAAGCCCCGGCUAACUUCGUGCCAGCAGCCGCGGUAAUACGAAGGGGGCUAGCGUUGCUCGGAAUUACUGGGCGUAAAGGGCGCGUACGCGGACAGCUUAGUCAGAGGUUAAAGCCCAGGGCUCAACCUUGGAAUCGCCUUUGAUACUGGCUGUCUUGA